CUGAGGAGGGUGGGGUCACUUGGUGCCCAUAAUAUCAAUGUGUAUGAGGAGGGCGAGGUCACUGGGUGCCCAUAUUAUCAAUGUGGCUGAGGAUGGCUGGGUCACUGGGUGCCCAUAUUAUCAAUGUAGCUGAGGAGGGUGGGGUCACUUGGUGCCCAUAUUAUCAAUGUGGCUGAGGAGGGUGAGGUCACUUGGUGCCCAUAUUAUCAAUGUGUAUGAGGAGGGCGAGGUCACUUGGUGCCCAUAUUAUCAAUGUGUAUGAGGAGGGCAAGGUCACUGGGUGCCCAUAUUAUCAAUGUAACUGAGGAGGGUGAGGUCACUUGGUGCCCAUAUUAUCAAUGUGUAUAAGGAGGGCAAGGUCACUGGGUGCCCAUAUUAUCAAUGUGUAUGAGGAGGGUGGGGUAACUUGGUGCCCAUAUUAUCAAUGUGUAUGAGGAGGGUGAGGUCACUUGGUGCCCAUAUUAUUAAUGUGGCUGAGGAGGGUGGGGUCACUUGGUGCCCAUAUUAUCAUUGUGGCUGAGGAAGGUGAGGUCACUUGGUGCCCAUAUUAUCAAUGUGGCUGAGGAGGGUGGGGUCACUUGGUGCCCAUAUUAUCAUUGUGGCUGAGGAGGGUGAGGUCACUUGGUGCCCAUAUUAUCAUUGUGGCUGAGGAGGGUGAGGUCACUGGGUGCCCAUAUUAUCAAUGUAACUGAGGAGGGUGAGGUCACUUAGUGCCCAUAUUAUCAAUGUGUAUGAGGAGGGCAAGGUCACUGGGUGCCCAUAUUAUCAAUGUGUAUGAGGAGGGUGGGGUCACUUGGUGCCCAUAUUAUCAAUGUGUAUGAGGAGGGUGAGGUCACUUGGUGCCCAUAUUAUUAAUGUGGUUGAGGAGGGUGGGGUCACUUGGUGCCCAUAUUAUCAUUGUGGCUGAGGAAGGUGAGGUCACUUGGUGCCCAUAUUAUCAAUGUGGCUGAGGAGGGUGGGGUCACUUGGUGCCCA
This is a non-coding RNA of Pelobates cultripes (western spadefoot toad), 975 nucleotides long. The record is from the annotation of a GenBank genome assembly. Lineage: Eukaryota; Metazoa; Chordata; Amphibia; Anura; Pelobatidae.